ACUCAAUAGAUACCCUGGUAGUCCUGGCAGUAAACGGUGCGUGUUUGGUGUGGGAGGAAUCGACCCCUUCCGUGCCGGAGCUAAACGCGUUAAACACGCCGCCUGGGGAGUACGGUCGCAAGAUUAAAACUCAAGGAAAUUGACGGGGGCCCGCACAAGCGGUGGAGUAUGUGGCUUAAUUCGAUGCAACGCGAAGAACCUUACCUGGGCUUGACAUGCAUCACUAAGGCGGUGAAAGCCGUCGACUGGAGCAAUCCAGAUUUUGCACAGGUGCUGCAUGGCUGUCGUCAGCUCGUGUCGUGAGAUGUUGGGUUAAAGUCCCGCAACGAGCGCAACCCUUGUGAUCUGUUGCCAACGAACUUUUGUUCGAGCACUCUGAUCAGACUGCCCUGUGAAACGGGGUAGGAAGGUGAGGAUGACGUCAAGUCAGCAUGGCCCUUACGCCCAGGGCUGCACACGUACUACAAUGCACAGUACAGAAAGAGCCGAGACCGCGAGGUGAGG
RNAcentral lists this ribosomal RNA (504 nucleotides) under uncultured bacterium. RNAcentral describes it as "bacterial SSU rRNA". It matches the Rfam family "Bacterial small subunit ribosomal RNA", at positions 770 to 1267 of the family's 1533-position model. The record is from RNAcentral.